UACGGGGGGUGCGAGCGUUAUCCGGAAUCAUUGGGUUUAAAGGGUCCGUAGGCGGUUUUGUAAGUCAGUGGUGAAAGCCCAUCGCUCAACGGUGGAACGGCCAUUGAUACUGCAAGACUUGAAUUAUUAGGAAGUAACUAGAAUAUGUAGUGUAGCGGUGAAAUGCUUAGAGAUUACAUGGAAUACCAAUUGCGAAGGCAGGUUACUACUAAUGGAUUGACGCUGAUGGACGAAAGCGUGGGUAGCGAACAGG
Molecule: ribosomal RNA, 253 nt
Filed under: uncultured bacterium
Lineage: Bacteria
Description: partial 16S ribosomal RNA
Rfam family: Bacterial small subunit ribosomal RNA
Source: RNAcentral